UUGGCGAGGUUUGAGGAUUAGGCCAUUAGUUUUGGUGCAGUGUUUGAGAUGAUUGCUAGAUGAGUGAAGCAAAGAGGACGAAGAAGGUGCGGUGUCAGAAAUGUAAUUUCUGGAAAGGAAAGGAGUCAGUGCUUUGUUCUUUUGGCGAGUAAGGUGAGAGAGAAGUGAAAUUGAAGCUCUUCUCAUGGUUGUAUUUGAGGGGUUCUGUGGAUAUACUUGUGAAAGUGGCUGUGGCUCUCAGUUAAACCCUUGCAAAACCCCAAAUCCUUCGAACUUUGUCUCAG
RNAcentral lists this unclassified non-coding RNA (284 nucleotides) under Hevea brasiliensis (rubber tree). The record is from RNAcentral. Lineage: Eukaryota; Viridiplantae; Streptophyta; Magnoliopsida; Malpighiales; Euphorbiaceae.